CAUGCAACACAUGAUGCUUGCUUGCAGAUCAUUCAUUUAAUUUAAAAAAUCGAGUAACUUGCAGAAACAGCGCCGCUGGAUUAAAAGGAGUAAUUAAGCAGUAAUUUUCUUGAUUUACUACCAAAUCUGGAAUAUCACAAGUUCAUCAUCAUCAUGAGGUUACACAGAAGACAGGAGCUUUUAUUACAAUGGAUAUUUAGUGCUUUUAUCAUCAUUUCAUUACAUGUAUUUUCAGAUGCACAAUCAACAGGAACAAGUUCUUCAUGUUUGCAAGCGAGGACUUGUGGAGACUGUAUAAUAACAGACCCAAGCUGUGCCUGGUGUGCACAAUCAGUA
Long non-coding RNA from Lytechinus pictus (painted urchin), 336 nucleotides. RefSeq lists it as uncharacterized. The transcript is spliced from 3 exons. The record is from RefSeq and is a predicted model, not a curated record. Lineage: Eukaryota; Metazoa; Echinodermata; Echinoidea; Temnopleuroida; Toxopneustidae.